CUGGGAAUAAACAAGAAAACCGAAAAUCCCCAUAUGUCUGGAAUUGAAACAAAACACUUCUGAGUGUUUAAUGGUUUGAUGAAGAAAUCACAGUGGAAAUGAGAAAAUCUACUGAACUGAAUGGAUGGCUUUCAGUGAUUUGCAAUGGAGAGACAUGCAGGCUCCAUGGAGCAUUUGGGGUGGUGAAUGGUAAGAAGAAAAGUCCUGGGAAUCCUGGAAAGCUAAGUUCAUAUCUCAACUUUUUUUUUUUUUUUUUUUUUGGUUUCACUUCUGCAUUUAUCACUUUUUUUAAAAUAUAAAUUUCUUCCUUUCUUCCUUUCUUCCUUUCUUUUAUUGGCUGUGUUGGGUCUUUUUUACUGUGUGCCAGCUUUCUUUUUAGUUGUGGUGAGUGGGGGCUACUCUUCGUCGCGGUGCAGGGGCUCCUUGUUACCCUGGCUUCUCUUGUUGCGGAGCACCGGUUCUAGGCGCAUGGACUUCAGUAUUUGCAGCACAUGGGCUCAGUAGUUGUGGCACAGUGGCUUAGUUGCUCCGUGGCAUGUGGGAUCUUCCUGGAGCAGGGAUCGAACCCGUGUCCUCUGCAUUGGCAGGUGGAUUCUCAACCACUGUGCCACCUAGGAAGCCCCAUAUCUCAACUUCUUACUCACACUUAUUUGGGGUUGUGUUCUCUGUUUGUUUUGUUUGUUUUAUUAAAAGAAAAUGUCUUAAAAGUGCAUAUCUGAAGGCUUUUGCUUGUAGCUGUCUGGAAACCAUCAAACCCCGCAGCUAGACAAUCAGGUUAGUUCUGGGCCCUAUCCCAGAGCCAAUGGGUCCUUAAAGAGGAAGCUAUAGUCUAAGAGAAGGCAAAGGGAAUUUGGAGGGCUGGGGAUUCAAGUACUACAAAGACAGGGUAGAGGAAUGUGAGAAAGGGAAGGAAGAGCACUGAGACUACUUCUCUGUCCCACUUGGUUCUGUUCUAAUACGUAGAAAAAAAGAGAUUAACUAGGAAGCAACUAGAAAUUAGAUUUUUAGCAAGCUUUUAGUGAUUUCUCAUCAAGUGACACAUGCGAUAUUUAGUGUUCCCAAUGAGUUGCACUAAAAUUAUUUUUACAUUUCUGGACAUCUGUGGAAUGUUAAAUGUGUUCCUAAAUAUUAGAUAUAAUUACAAGGAAAUAUGUUUAUGUAAAUCUAUUUGGUAACAGGUUCUGAGGAGUUUCGUUUUAAUCGGGAUUUUGGAUUAUACAUGACUUUGAUUUGUCUCCUUUAUCCUCAGUGAUCGAGAGCUGACUGUAUUGGGUGGACAUACCAGAUCUCUUUGAACCUUGGUUUCUUGAUGUAUUGAAAAAUGAAGCCAAUACCUCUAUCACUCAGGAUAUUUCUGCAGCACUAGGAGAAGAGACUGAACCAAUAUUUAUGAGAAUGAACAACUCUAAGGAUGGGAAAAUAAUUUUACCUACAGCAACUUGGUAGUUGGAGAGAAGCCUUGUUGAGUGGAGGUGACCUGGACAUUCCAAGACUUUGAGCAGCCACCAGGCUUCUUUGUCUCUGCACUCCUUCCUCCCCCUGUACAGAAUGGCUUGGGACUGCACUUUGAAGAAGAUGCACACAGAACCCUGUCUGCAGAUCAAUAUAAUCAGUACACCAUCAGGUGUCCUGAUUUGAGGUACCAGAGGCUGUUUUACAAUGCUGGACCACAGGGUGGAGGCGUGGCUUAGUCUAAUCACUAGGAGUCAACCUGCCUUUCAAGGGAAGAACCUCAUCAUCUGAGGUCUAAGUUAUUGAAAUAGCCUUUCCUCUGCCUGAGGCCCUCUGCUAACUGCUGUCCCAGAAUCUUCCUACAUCUUGGUGGAAAGUGACUCCCUGUUGCCUAUUCCUCAGAUUCAACACCUCUGGAUUUCAAAUCACUCAUGGUCUGGCUUCCCCCUCUUAAAUACAAUAAAUGGUAAAAUGUUUUAUUUAUAUCAAAAUAAUGAUUUGGAGAGUACAUUUGUACUCAUCAUUCAGUUUAAGAGACAAAAUACCUGAGUAUCCCUCCUCCAUUGUAUUCUCCUCUUAAUCCCAAAGGUGGCUACUGUUCUGAAUUUGCAUUUAUUAUUUCCAUGUAGUUUGUCAUCAUUUUACUACAAAUAUAUUUAUUCAUAUGGCAUUAUUUGCAUGAUUUAAAACCUGAUAUAAAUAGUAGCAUUAUUAUAUGUAUUAUGCAAAAAGUUUCACGUCUCGUUAUUGUUUUUGUGAGAUUUUCCAUGCAUAAAUAUGAAUAGCUCUACUUCCCUUGUUUCCCUGGUGAGUAGUACCCCAUUGCUAGAAUGCA
Hippopotamus amphibius kiboko is the source of this 2287-nucleotide long non-coding RNA. RefSeq lists it as uncharacterized. The record is from RefSeq and is a predicted model, not a curated record. Lineage: Eukaryota; Metazoa; Chordata; Mammalia; Artiodactyla; Hippopotamidae. The transcript is spliced from 8 exons.